This 476-nucleotide ribosomal RNA is filed under the name uncultured bacterium. RNAcentral describes it as "partial 16S ribosomal RNA". It matches the Rfam family "Bacterial small subunit ribosomal RNA", at positions 28 to 523 of the family's 1533-position model. The record is from RNAcentral.
GACGAACGCUGGCGGCGUGCUUAACACAUGCAAGUCGAACGGAAAGGCCCGCUUGCGGGUGCUCGAGUGGCGAACGGGUGAGUAACACGUGGGUAACCUGCCCCCUGCUUCGGGAUAACUCCGGGAAACCGGGGCUAAUACCGGCUAUUCAUUGCUGGACGCAUGGUUGGCGGUGGAAAGUUUUUCGGCUGGGGAUGGGCCCGCGGCCUAGCAGCUUGGUGGUGGGGUGAUGGCCUACCAAGGCUUCGACGGGUAGCCGGCCUGAGAGGGCGACCGGCCACACUGGGACUGAGACACGGCCCAGACUCCUACGGGAGGCAGCAGUGGGGAAUAUUGCGCAAUGGGCGGAAGCCUGACGCAGCGACGCCGCGUGAGGGAUGACGGCCUUCGGGUUGUAAACCUCUUUCAGCAGGGACGAAUUGUGACGGUACCUGUAGAAGAAGCACCGGCCAACUACGUGCCAGCAGCCGCCGUAA